GACGAACGCUGGCGGCGUGCUUAACACAUGCCAGUCGAACGGAAAGGCCCCCUUGUGGGGUACUCGAGUGGCGAACGGGUGAGUAACACGUGAGUAACCUACCCUUGACUUUGGGAUAACUUCAGGAAACUGGGGCUAAUACCGGAUAGGAGCUCCUGCUGCAUGGUGGGGGUUGGAAAGUUUCGGCGGUUGGGGAUGGGCUCGCAGCUUAUCAGCUUGUUGGUGGGGUAGUGGCUCACCAAGGCUUUGACGGGUAGCCGGCCUGAGAGGGUGACCGGCCACAUUGGGACUGAGAUACGGCCCAGACUCCUACGGGAGGCAGCAGUGGGGAAUAUUGCACAAUGGGCGGAAGCCUGAUGCAGCAACGCCGCGUGCGGGAUGACGGCCUUCGGGUUGUAAACCGCUUUCGCCUGUGACGAAGCGUGAGUGACGGUAAUGGGUAAAGAAGCACCGGCUAACUACGUG
This 465-nucleotide ribosomal RNA is filed under the name uncultured bacterium. Its description in RNAcentral is "partial 16S ribosomal RNA". It matches the Rfam family "Bacterial small subunit ribosomal RNA", at positions 28 to 507 of the family's 1533-position model. The record is from RNAcentral.